UACGUAGGGGGCGAGCGUUGUCCGGAAUUAUUGGGCGUAAAGAGCGUGUAGGCGGUUCGGUAAGUCUGCCGUGAAAACCUGGGGCUCAACCCCAGGCGUGCGGUGGAUACUGCCGGGCUAGAGGGUGGUAGAGGCGAGUGGAAUUCCCGGUGUAGCGGUGAAAUGCGCAGAUAUCGGGAGGAACACCGGUGGCGAAGGCGGUUCUCUGGGACGGUACUGACGCUGAGACGCGAAAGCGUGGGGAGCGAACAGG
This 253-nucleotide ribosomal RNA is filed under the name uncultured bacterium. RNAcentral describes it as "partial 16S ribosomal RNA". It matches the Rfam family "Bacterial small subunit ribosomal RNA", at positions 524 to 776 of the family's 1533-position model. The record is from RNAcentral.